UCAUGAAGGGUUUGAUCCUGGCUCAGGACUAACGCUGGUGGUGUGUCUAAGCCAUGCAAGUCGAGCGGACCGUAAGCGUUUUAUUACACUUACGGUCAGCGGCGGACGGGUGAGUAACGCGUGAGUAACCUGCCUUAAAGUUUGGGAUAGCCUUGAGAAAUUGGGGGUAAUACCAAAUAAUACCAAUGGUUGAAAGACUUAUUGGUUAAAGAUGGCCUCUGCUUGCAAGCUAUCACUUUAUGAGGGGCUCGCGUCCUAUUAGCUAGUUUGUGAGGUAAAGGCUCACAAAGGCUAUGAUGGGUAGCCGGCUUGAGAGGGUGAUCGGCCACGCUGGGACUGAGAACGGCCCAGGCUCCUACGGGAGGCAGCAGGCUAGAAAUUUGACCAAUGGACGCAAGUCUGAGUCAGCGACACCACUUGGGGGAUUUGAAGGCUUUCGGGUCGUAAACCCCUGUCAAAAAGGAAGAUGGUCUGGAAGUUCAAUAAACUUCCAGAUUGACUGUACUUUUAAUAGGAAGCCACGGCUAAUUCCGUGCCAGCAGCCGCGGUAAAACGGAAGUGGCAAGCGUUGUCCGAAAUCACUGGGCGUAAAGCGGGCGUAGGCGGGUAAAUAAGUUGGAUGUGAAAACCAGCUGCUCAACGGCUGACCUGCAUUCAAAACUAUUUACCUUGAGUCUGACAGAGGGGAGUGGAACUUCUGGUGUAGCGGUGGAAUGCGUAGAUAUCAGAAGGAACACCAAAGGCGAAGGCAGCUCUCUGGGUCAAGACUGACGCUGAGGCACGAAAGCUAGGGGAGCAAACGGGAUUAGAUACCCCGGUAGUCCUAGCCGUAAA
RNAcentral lists this ribosomal RNA (834 nucleotides) under Candidatus Stahliibacteriota bacterium. Its description in RNAcentral is "bacterial SSU rRNA". It matches the Rfam family "Bacterial small subunit ribosomal RNA", at positions 1 to 806 of the family's 1533-position model. Lineage: Bacteria; Candidatus Stahliibacteriota. The record is from RNAcentral.